GAGUUUGAUUAUGGCUCAGAUUGAACGCUGGCGGCAGGCUUAACACAUGCAAGUCGAACGGUAGCAGGAGAAAGCUUGCUUUCUUGCUGACGAGUGGCGGACGGGUGAGUAAUGCUUGGGAAUCUGGCUUAUGGAGGGGGAUAACUACUGGAAACGGUAGCUAAUACCGCGUAAUAUCGAGAGAUUAAAGACUGGGACCUACGGGCCAGUUGCCAUAAGAUGAGCCCAAGUGGGAUUAGGUAGUUGGUGGGGUAAAGGCCUACCAAGCCCGCGAUCUCUAGCUGGUCUGAGAGGAUGACCAGCCACACUGGAACUGAGACACGGUCCAGACUCCUACGGGAGGCAGCAGUGGGGAAUAUUGCACAAUGGGGGGAACCCUGAUGCAGCCAUGCCGCGUGAAUGAAGAAGGCCUUCGGGUUGUAAAGUUCUUUCGGUGGUGAGGAAGGUAUCAACUUUAAUAGAGUUGGUAAU
RNAcentral lists this ribosomal RNA (471 nucleotides) under Pasteurellaceae bacterium canine oral taxon 080. RNAcentral's name for it is "bacterial SSU rRNA". It matches the Rfam family "Bacterial small subunit ribosomal RNA", at positions 9 to 479 of the family's 1533-position model. The record is from RNAcentral. Lineage: Bacteria; Pseudomonadati; Pseudomonadota; Gammaproteobacteria; Pasteurellales; Pasteurellaceae.